This 267-nucleotide ribosomal RNA is filed under the name uncultured bacterium. RNAcentral describes it as "partial 16S ribosomal RNA". It matches the Rfam family "Bacterial small subunit ribosomal RNA", at positions 87 to 353 of the family's 1533-position model. The record is from RNAcentral.
GCUGGCGACCGGCGCACGGGUGAGUAACACGUAUCCAACCUGCCGAUGACUCGGGGAUAGCCUUUCGAAAGAAAGAUUAAUACCCGAUGGCAUAGUUCUUCCGCAUGGUAGAACUAUUAAAGGAUUUCGGUCAUCGAUGGGGAUGCGUUCCAUUAGGUUGUUGGUGAGGUAACGGCCCACCAAGCCUUCGAUGGAUAGGGGUUCUGAGAGGAAGGUCCCCCACAUUGGAACUGAGACACGGUCCAAACUCCUACGGGAGGCAGCAUG